Long non-coding RNA from Felis catus (domestic cat), 987 nucleotides. RefSeq lists it as uncharacterized. The transcript has 2 exons. Lineage: Eukaryota; Metazoa; Chordata; Mammalia; Carnivora; Felidae. The record is from RefSeq and is a predicted model, not a curated record.
GUGGGACAGAAGGCCCGCUGUGACUUAGACGUGGUGUCCUUCCAGCCCCGUCCGCCUCCACUGGCCCUGUGCGCCCAAACCUACAGCCGCUCGCUCCUCCAAUGCCGAAGGAUUCAUUCCUUCCGACUUCGGCCUCGUCUCCUCUUUGACCUUGCUCUGGAAAGAGUGGAGAUGAUCGAUUGCAUUGGACACUAUGGGGCUCCGAGCAACAUUUGAGCUCAACAAAUUUCCAUCAGUAGUGGGCACCUCGUAGCUGGAUGAUCCAGACCACAGAGGACCGCGAGACGGAGGGACGAGGCUACAUCGCCCCAGUCACUAAAGGAUUAUUGUUUAGGUAUACGUACCCCCUCCCUCCGCGAAAUGCAGUGUACAUAAACCCACGUUUAUAGGACGGAAGUUGAGGGGUGCUUGAUCACAUUGCUAACGGAGUCUUCCCAGAAUUUCUUUAACUAGGUGGCUCCUCUCGUAUCUUUCCAGUUGGGUCCCACGGAUUAAAAUCCCAGUGACACCCAAUACACUGUGGUAGCAGAGAGACUACAGGGAAUAAAGAAACAACCAGGGACCAGGAGCUGGGAUGCCUGGUCUUAGUCCUGCCUAAGGACCCAUCCCAGACCCGGAAGGUGAGGACUAAUCCUGGACCACCUCUAAAUGCCAGGACUUUUAAAUCCUGAGCAAUCGGCACCAAUCCUAUCAAGCAAGAUAGACCUGUUGAUGAGAAGGCUCUGAUCCCCUAGCUGUGCUGGAAAAAGCCAGAAGGCCAGGAUGUGCCUCAGCCUGGGGUGCCCAGUGGGGUCCCCCCUGUCCUGGUGCUGUGCUCUGCUCCCCUCCCCCCAUUCGCUCUGACCUCCACCCGCAUCCACUGCUUCAAUCGUAUUCUCCCUCUGCUCUGAGUUUUCUCGGGCCCCAGUUCCCUUGAAUUUAUGACAAUUGUUAUCGUUUCUGCCAGAUUGGCCUCCCUGCUCCACUAAAUUCAUAUCCUCAACCAUC